Molecule: ribosomal RNA, 268 nt
Filed under: Salmonella enterica
Lineage: Bacteria; Pseudomonadati; Pseudomonadota; Gammaproteobacteria; Enterobacterales; Enterobacteriaceae
Also listed under: 4 other names
Description: partial 23S ribosomal RNA
Rfam family: Bacterial large subunit ribosomal RNA
Source: RNAcentral
UGAGGGGGGCUGCUCCUAGUACGAGAGGACCGGAGUGGACGCAUCACUGGUGUUCGGGUUGUCAUGCCAAUGGCACUGCCCGGUAGCUAAAUGCGGAAGAGAUAAGUGCUGAAAGCAUCUAAGCACGAAACUUGCCCCGAGAUGAGUUCUCCCUGAGACUUUAGGUCUCCUGAAGGAACGUUGAAGACGACGACGUUGAUAGGCCGGGUGUGUAAGCGCAGCGAUGCGUUGAGCUAACCGGUACUAAUGAACCGUGAGGCUUAACCUU